This 119-nucleotide ribosomal RNA is filed under the name Oncorhynchus kisutch (coho salmon). Lineage: Eukaryota; Metazoa; Chordata; Actinopteri; Salmoniformes; Salmonidae. The record is from RNAcentral.
ACUUACGACCACACCGGCCUGAGUACGCCUGAUCUCGUCUGAUCUCGGAAGCUAACCAGGGUCUGGACUGGUUACUACUUGGAUGGGAGACCGCCUGGGAAUACCAGGUGCUGUAAGCU